CACGGGAGCGCGGGAUGGAUCCAUGACUUAAGCGUUCGACCGGACCGCGGUACCGACUGCCACGUCCGGUCUGUCCUUCAGCACCUCCAGGGACAGUGACCUCCCCGGGCAGCCCGUCCCAAUGCCCAGUCACUCUUUCUGCGAAUAAAUUCUUCCUAAUGUCCAACCUGAACCUCCCCGGCGCAGCCUUACGCUGUGUGCUCUCGUCCUGUCGCCUGGGAGAAGAGCCCGACCCCCCACCUGGCUACAACCUCCUUCCAGGAGAGAAACUUCCCCCGGCCGCUCUCCCCGGCCAUCCCCAGGCGGAGGGACAGGUGGGCAGGCAUGGGCCGGCCCGUGAGGGCGGUGCCGCCGCCACCCACCGCAGCACCCCGGUCCCGGCUGGCUCCGGGCGCCUGCGACGGAAAGUUCUGUCCUUGGGUCUGGAAUUGCGCGGGGCUGAGAGGAAAAACGCGUUAACUGCCUUGUUUAAGCAGAGGAAACUGACAGGUGAGCUUUGUUUAAAACCCGGCUUGUUCGCCGACUUGGACGAGCUGUGCGUUUUUUGAGGUACUGAGCACAUCGUGUUCCUGUAUCUGGAGAAAAACCGCCGUCAGAAGCGAUGUGGGUGUCUGGAAUAAACCAUGAUUAGUGCUGUCUGGCCCUUCGCUGCUGCUUUGGAGUAGUAAUUGCAGUUCUUGCCCAGCUGUGUAUUUUUGGCUGCUGUUUACGCUGUUGAAACUAUCUCUGGUAUGCUUGUAAUUGAUUUUUGAACAGUUCCGCUUCACAAUAACAGGGACAGGUGCGUUCCAGGGGGUUAGUUGUGAUUAUCCUGCUGUAAGCCAAGUUAUGUCCCUUUUUUCACUGCUGACUGAAUUCUGGUUGGGAGGUUAAGUGAGGAUCCUGCAGGGAGAGUAGCACAAGCAUUGGAAUAUUGUGGUUAUAGGGUGUGAGAGAGCACAAUGCACCCAGAAACUUGGCUGCUAAUCUCAGGUGUUUUUUCAGUUUAACAGUGCUCACUUUUUGGAGCUGAGAGCAGAAUUUACAAUUUCUGCCUCAUCACUGCUGUUGAGUGUAACAGCUGUGUUGUUCUCUCAUUCUGGUGAAUAUUUUAGAACCCAAAGGCAAAUGCACCCUAGUGCUCUCUCUGUGUGGGACAGUCCGAGUUUAGAGCCACAGACACCGAGUAAAACCUGAGUUCAGUCACGAAGGAAAAAGCAAGGACUCUAGGAAAAGAUAGUGCCUUUAAUCCAUGUUAUUAUGUGAAUGGGAAAGGGCUUCUUAUCUCUUUAGUCCAGGUCUACACUAAAUGUAGUCAAGUCUAGUUAAAACGCAGCAGCUUGGUGUGUUGAACUUUAUCCUGGAUGAAGGAGAAAGAUAAAUACCUUGUGCAUUUUAAUGCAUAUGUUUUUGUUAUACUGGUGUAAUGCACAUUUAGUUUUAUCAUUUUAAGAGGUCUGCCAUAAGUUUAGAAGCUGAUAAACCAUCUAGACCUCAAGAAUACCCCCAGACCAGGAGGGUAAAUAUCAGGUCUGCUAUAGUGACACAAUCCAAUUCACUGUAAUGUUUCAUAUUUAGAAUAGCAUUUCUAAUAACUUUUGGGCAGCAUUACAUAGAACAAUUACACAGUGCAUCUACAGAUGAAAAAGCCCUGUGUAUAAUAACUACCAAGUGGUCUUUUGGUACUGAAAUCACAUUAAUUGUAGCUGCACUACUGGGUUUUAAUGCUUGAGCAUGGGAAGGAAAAUAUGAAUUAAUUGUGUUACUGGAAGCAGAGAAAUCUGGUGCUGAAGGUAGUGCCUGUGUUGUGGGGGAACAGUGCUCUGCACUGGUAACUGGUACUGGCAGCAUAUGGUUUAUUUUAUCUAUCUAUGCUCCUACCUUAUGAUAUACAUUCCUGUUCUAAUCCUUUCUCUCUUUUUUUUUAUUUUUCAUUUAUUUGAAUGUCUUUCUACUAUCAUGUGAAUAAAGAAAUCUGAUCUUGAAGAUCUCAUGUCACAUUUAAUGAAGUGCAUUCCAGUGAUGGAGGAACUAAUCAAUAGGAAUACAAUCACUUCUGAAAGAAUUACUACAAGUAAGUUUCACAACCUUUUUUAUGCAUUGCAAAUAAUCAAGCAAAUAUUUCAUGUAUUGGCCAACGAUUUCUUUGCAUUUUGAAUUCACUGUGUGACUAUGUAAAUAAUUCCAGGUAAACUAGUUGGAGAAAAUGCAGUUGUAGUUCUGCAACAUUUAAUAUUGUAGAUUAAAAUAUAAUUACUUUUGAAUAUCUUAUCAGUUUAGAAGGAAAUCCUUCCAGGGAAAGAGGCAAGUUCUUUCUUAACAAGUGUUUCUAAACAAGUGUUACUAGAGAGGUUUAUGUACUGUGUUUAGCCUUUUAAUUUUUUAAGAUGUUCAGACAUUUGUGAAAUUCCAUGUAAAUCACACAGUCUAAGAGUGGUCAAGGGAAAAAAACACAGUGCUGACUUCAGGGGAGCAGAAUGAUGGUCCCCAAGGUGGGGUGUGAUACACUGCUGUACCACUGCAAUUCAUAAAGUCAGUAGCACAAUAUAGGACAAAUAUCUGAUUUGAAAUGCUAAUUACAUUUUACAUUUGGCUUUGUUUGCAGCUGAUUUCUUACUUCCUUGUACCUUAUUUGUUCUCCACCUUGCUCCUUAAUAGAAUAUCCAGGUAUGUAUCGUUGUCUGAAGACUGCUCAGAGAGAGCUGUGGUAACUCCCUUGCUGUCCCCUGCACAAGGCUUUGAUCCACGUGGGAUCCCAGCUGGGUAACAUUUCAGCAUGAGGGCAACAUAUCUGGUACAUUUCAAAAUCUGUUGUGUUUGCAAACUCCACUGUUGGUCUUGAAUGGCUUUUUGUCAUCAUAAAUCAAAAUAAUAGAAAAAAUUGCUGAUAGUGACAGGUCUUCCAUUUUGUGUCUUUCUCAGCUAGCUUGUGGACUGCAAAGAGGUUCCUGAAAUUCAUGCCUUGAGGUCUUCUGUAAGGAAAUUUGCAAUAAGAAAGGCUGCUUGUUUUAAUAACGCCAUCAUUUAGGAGGUGAUGUGACCGACUCGAAGAGUUGGUGACUGAUUUGCCUGUGUAAACUUGCUUAAAGCAGAGGCAGUGAAUUCAUGUUGAUUUCAGUUUGAGGAAUAUGUUUAUUUUAAGGGAAAUUACAUUGUUUUUCUUUCUGUGGUACACAAAAAUUAGCAUCUGAUUUAGUGAAAUUAAAAUUAACAUGACAGAGAUGACAACUGAGUAUGUGGCAGGGACACAUGCUGUUGUGGGAAGCUCCUGCAGUGGGGCACAUCAGUAGUUUUCAAGUUGGGAAAGCAGCUCUGCUGAGAGGGGAGGGCUGGUUUAUAGUGAGAUCAGGUUCCUGUUAUAAUGACGAGUCACAGCUCCCGGCAGCACUAGAGGGUGCUGGAGGAACGACUGCAACAUUAACAACUCUGUGUUGGAAAUCCAGAAUCCCAGGAAAGUCGAGUUGUGGUGCCCCUUAGAGGUCUCAGCUCCAACCCAGCCUUGCCAUAAACAGCACACUCGUGUUCUCCUGCUGGAUCCACUGCAGUCAAAGGGAAGGCAGUCACCUGGAGGGACUCUAUUGUGUGACACACUCUGGUUCCUUAGGACUGGUCAACAGGUGAUGGCAUCUUGUGUGUGACGCUGUGAAAGCAUCAAUGGGUCACCAAAAGGAAAAAAUACAACGAGAAUGAAACUGUAAAUGCUCAUCUCAGUAAGUGUUACCACCUGUAGCAGUGAUCCUGACUGGAAGGCCAUUGGACAUCAAGGAGUUAGUGAUCCAGGGUGCACUUAACUUGAGCUGGGGUGCAGCUCGACCUUUGGGCUUGUGUUGUGGUGCACAAACCCCUUGGCCACAGGAUGAACUCAGCCAGCUCAUUGCAACAGAGCAGCCUGCAGGCAGCUCCCACCUAAUUCCAGGAGUUAAGCUACCUGCCUGGCAUUAGGGAAUGCAGCAGGGGGUUCUUUCCUGAACAUGCCUUGUUUGAUAGUGGGAAUGACCAACAGAGGGCCAGAGUGUUUGUCUCUCCUGUGGUAGAAUCUUCAUGACCGGAAGGGGAGAAUCUCUUCCAUGGAGGGGGUUUGCCUGGCACGGACCAGAGGCCAGUUUGAUGCUACACCCCCAGGGGUUCCUACCAUCUGAAGGGAUCUGAAAUUAUCUAUACUAUGCUCUCUUUAGAGUGUUAGACCUUCAAAAUAGCAUUUUAAAUGAUAAAUUCUUUCUUACUGAGAUCAUAAUGGAUCAACACAUUCUGGUGCAAGACAUUAUAAUAAAAGUACUUUAGCCAAUAUUUUUGUUUUAAAAUAAAUGUAAAUAUUGUAAUAAUUUUUUCAAAGAAGUUUUGGUUUGAGGCUUUUCUAAGUUGAGGGACUAGGCAUAUGGUGGGAAUGAGGAGAGGUAGACCUUAUAAAUGGAAAUUUGAAUCUUGAUAGUGAUUCUGAAGUUGGCCUUUAAAAUAAUUUCAUCUCUUUGUAUGCUUUGGUCUGUGAUAAAUUGUGAAACACUACGUAGUAUACUUUCAGUUUCAUUUUAAAUAGCUAAUUUUGAAUGUACUCUUUUCUUUUGAAGGUUACAAGAAUAUUUAAUAUUACAGAGUUCUUGGUUUUUAAAGAGUGACUGUUAGCAAGAAAGGAUACAGUUUGAGAGGAGUGGGAAUAAAAUGAGCCUCGAUCUUAUUUACCUCAAGCAGCUUCUGAAUCUCCAGAGUGUCCUGUUCCAUGAGGUAUGUGAAGAUAUUUUUUUUCUUACCACUAGCAAAGGGAGACAAGCUUUGUUCAGCUGGGGAAGGUAUGUACUGCAAUAGUAACAAAAAGAUUCUGGAAUAAAAGGAGAGACUCUGAGUCUUUUAGAGACUUAGUGUCUGUACUGUAGCAGAUGUUCACAGCCUUUCCUCUGAUAUAAAUGACUUGUAACGAUGCAUUGUGGUGUGCAAACAGUGUUACUUUGAACCUGCUAUAUAAGGUGUUGUUUCAUUUGAAUAAAAGGAUUUGGCUCUGAACCCCCAACAAGGUAGCAGGGUCCAUGUAAUUUAUUCAUGUAUUAUAUUAAUAUGCCACAGGUAUGUACCCUUUACUAUUUACAGAUCUCCUCUGACAUAAACAAUGCCAACAAGACUCUAGUUUAUAAGUCUAUUCAAGUUGAGGUAAAACUCAUUUCCCAAAUUAUUUCCAAGCGCUGAGUCCAGAUGCCUGUUGGUAAAGUUUGGACUUUUCUCUUGCAGCAGCUGCAGAGUGGAUUUUUUUGAACAGUUGUAUUGAGUUUCAUAGCAAGGAAAACUGUUUUGUUGACAAGUGGUUGUUACCAUGAUCUCUACUGAAAGUAAGAUGUCGGAAGAGUGAGUCCAAAUGUAUUUCAGAGUUGUGGGGUAUCUUUUUAGGCCCAAUGCUUUUAGCAUUCUGAGUACAUGCUGCUGCUUUAAACAGGCUAAAACUAAUAUAAACAAACUGAACUGAGGGCUUGUAGCUGUUAGAAAUAAGUCAGUCAUAAUGAAAUAGCUUUGUAUUUUAAAGCCUAAUGAACUGACAAGUGUAAAUUAACAGGAGAAUAUCUCCUAGCUUACAUGCAAGUAAAAGGUUGUGUGAAGUGUUGUUUAGUCAUGACACCCUCCUGAUUCUCUCCUGCCUAACCCAGGCAUGGCUGUUCAGUUGUAGGGCUGCCCAUUUCACAUUCUUAAUCCAUAGGCACUAAUUCUAACUGAAGGAUCUUAUAGGAAGUGGUAUGCACAUCCAGUAUAUCUUUUACAUACCCUUUCCCCAAAGUUUACUAGAACUUGGUAGCUGAUGGAGCAAAGAUUGUCUUCGGGUUUAGGUUCGUGUUGCCUUUAGCAGUUGUUGCUAUCAUUCAUGUUGCUAAUGUUUUGUAGCUUUUAUUAGGACAUUUUUUCUGGAGGCUGCAUGUUCCAUUGGCACAGUGUAUUCCUGAUCCACACAGUGGACUUGGAGGGCACUGACAGAGUAAGAGUUCAUAGGGAUAAACAGCUGAUUUCAUGGCUUAGAAGGAAGGUGGUGUUCCAAGGAACUAAUAAGGGUAGCACCAUAUUUUUGCAAGCAAGUUGCAAUGUCUUUGCUGUCUUCAAAUAAUGCCAGAUCUCAAUGAAAGAUCCCAGCACAAGUAGCUGCAUGAACUUCUGGACUUAAUUCAUGAUAUCCUUGAAAUGUAUUCUUGCAGAAAGAACCUGAUGUUGUUCACCUCAAACCAUGCUUGAGGUCCAUCUAGACCAGAACACUGUAAUACACCCCUACUUUUAGAAGUCACUAAAGUGGUGGAGUUUACCAGGUGUUUGAUACAGUUUAUUAGUUAAAUGGAGGUGAGGGAAAACACGGUGUGGGAUGGAAGCAUUAAUUUGGGUUACCUUGGUUACCUUGGUGUUCAUGAACACUAAGUCUGCCUCCUGUUCCAAAUUAUACUUAAAUCUCAUUUUUCUCUCUGUUGGACUAAAAUGUCUUGUUUUUAUGAAUAAACACCUUGGGUUGUACUAUAUUAGAACAUCUGGGUAAGUUUAUGCCAAUUGAAAUUCUUUAGACAUUGUGGUGAAAGUAAUCUGAUUUACCUGUUUUUCCAUACUUGUUAUUCCUGUGAGAGAGGAUCUUCCUGAGAUACCUUUCCUCUAAAUUCUUUGCCCAGAAAAAAAUAUCUGGUUGGAAUUAUUUGCUUGUUUUUCUUGGUUCCGUUUCAUUUUCAUUUCAAUGCUGUCUCUUACAGGUUUAUGCAACUUUGUGGAAGAAACUGAAGCAUAAGCCAAAAUAAAAUGGAAUAAAUAUGAAAGUUCUGUGACAAACUCCUCUGUUUGAUAUGGACUGAAGUCAACAAAAAUAUUUUUCUCUGCAAUAUACUAUCUACACUUCAAUUGUAAACUGGGCUAUUUGAUGCCUUGGAAGUCCAAAGGAAAUAAAUAUGUUUUAUGUUUAUUUUGUCACACUUUAGAUUACCCAGACAUUCAGUACAGAGCCUCCUUUGACCCAGGAUGUCCUUUGGUCAAAAACACAGUCACCUGAAACUAAGUUGGAAUAGUCUUGAAACAAAAUCAUAAAAGCUUUAAUUUUCUUUCUUAUUUGUGGAUUCAUAUAUAAUAAUAAUUUUGCUUCAUAACUUCAGACUGAAAAAUAGCUUUUAGUAUCUAUGAAGCUUUUCCUUCAAAUACAUUUAAUGUUUUACAGCAGAUUCCUAAGAGGCAUGCUAAUGUUAGGUACAGAGGGAUGAGAAAGGACCUCCUCUUCUUGUGGACAGGACAAAAAAUUUGUCUUGAAUCAAUUAGUUUUUUGUGUGUCUGUAAUUUUGAAAGCUAGAGGGCGCUGAGUUUUCCAGCAGCAAAGGAAACAAUGCAUAAAAAAAUAAAGGGGGGAUUCAAGACAGCGAAGCAAGAUGGUAUGAAGAUAGAAAUAUUUACAGUCUUGACAAUAUUGAAAAGGCAAGAGAUGAAUGGAGCAUAUGGUUUGGGGGUUUUGUUUGGGUUUUUUGGGUUUUGUUUUUGUGGUUUUUUCUUUUGGAGGUGGGGGAGUGUGUUUGGUUUUGUUUUGGUUUUCUGUCUUGGUUGGCUUUAGAAGUCCUGAUUUCUGUUCAAACUGGUAAAGGUAUGGAGUUGCUAAAGCAGAGAACCCCAGUGGGAUAGAUGCCGGUUUAACUUCUCUGCAAGUGUCAAGAGUGUGUGACCCCUUGGCAGCUGCCCUGAGUCCUGGCAGCAGGCUGAGGGAGAAGCAGCAGAGGAACAAUUUGAUCAGUUUUUCCACUGAGCUAACUGUUGAGCACCUUAUGUUACACACUGGUGUUUAAUAAAUUAGCUCUCAGAAUGUGAGUGUGGUGAAAUUACAAUUUAUGUACAGCAAUAGGAUGGUUAAAUAUACAUCAUGUAGAUACUGAUAGCUGCUCAAUAAAUAGUCACCAUAGCAGGUGCUAAAGGACAUCCCUGUGGUUGAGCUUUAGGAAAAGUACUUUUGUGGUAUAUAUAAGGGAAUCUGCAUCAGAUCAUACUGUUCAGUGUUUCCAUUGGUUCACUUUAUCUACUGACAUGGUUUCAAAAUCCCUUUCUCUGCUCUCUUUGUGCCAGCUCCUGGCUGUGGAUUCAGGGGUCAGCUCAGAUUGAAUGAGUUUACAUGAAGUCAGAUCCUAAGCCAUCCUCCCCACACUCUGGAAGGUGCUUUGGCAUAGAGAAGAGGAGUGGCUGGAGCCUAAUGAGUCAUACCCAGCUGUUAACUCUUUCGACUUCACUGUUCAGCAGUCAGCAGUGUGAAUUGUGAUGCACGGCUGGGGCUGAUAGCAGAGAUGACGCCAUCAAAGGUGGGGAUGGGAGUAACUGGAAUACUCUAAACUGGGUUUACACCUGCAGGAUAACAGCAGUAAUGGUAGAAUAAUGGGUUCAGGAGACAAAUUGAAAACAAAAGUAAUUUGUAUGUUGGAAACUUCAGACUAGUUCAGGUGUAAAGGCAGUUUUAUGGGAUGUGCUUGUAAGCAAACAUAGAGAAGAGAAAGUACAGAACCUUCAGGAGGAGCAGCACAGUAUCCUGCCCAGCCAUCCUCAUUGUUGCUUUUUGUGAUGUUGCACUGCUCUCUUCACUAACCUUUGCUGCUCACAGACUCCAUGUAUGAGCACCAAAUAUCUUACUUUUUGUAGAGAGGUUUGUGAUUUUCCAGCAAAAUGCUAUUAACACAAAUAUUUUGCAUUCUUGCUUCCAUCUGGGUUUUGUCAGUGGUGGGAUUAUUUUCUCUUAAUCCACUCUGCUGCUUUUUAAAAAUAUAGCAUUUUCAAAAGAACGAGUAAGUAUUAGAUACCUAAAAGAACACCUUUGUUUUGCAUUCCUGAAAUACUUAUUCAAAAUAAAUGAAUAUAGAUGAAUAAAUGAAAAUGUGUCUAAUCUGGCAUUCAGGAAUUAUCUGUUUAGCUAAUAUUUAAAUUAUUCUUGGUACAAAACAUGUGCAUGUCACUAUUUUCAAUCACACUAUACAUAGGCUGAGUGAUUCUAAGUCACCUACAGAGACCAGUUCUGUCUAUCUGGACAGUGGGAAAAUACCAGUAUAGGUUUGAACUAUACCUGACACCUGCUGUUGGCCAUGGUUGGUGACAGGAUAACUGGUCCAUCAUUGUGUUUUUGAAGUAAGAUUAAAAAUAAGUUUUGUUUCUUCA
Pipra filicauda (Wire-tailed manakin) is the source of this 9093-nucleotide long non-coding RNA. RefSeq lists it as uncharacterized. The record is from RefSeq and is a predicted model, not a curated record. The transcript is spliced from 3 exons. NCBI's taxonomy places the organism in Eukaryota, Metazoa, Chordata, Aves, Passeriformes, Pipridae.